Molecule: transfer RNA, 73 nt
Filed under: Hordeum vulgare
Lineage: Eukaryota; Viridiplantae; Streptophyta; Magnoliopsida; Poales; Poaceae
Description: tRNA-OTHER
Source: RNAcentral
UUCUUCGUAGCGCAACCGGCUGGGUGCUUUGUUUCCAACAAAGGGAUCUCGGGUUCGAAUCCCAGCCAGCCCA